RNAcentral lists this ribosomal RNA (328 nucleotides) under uncultured Glomus. RNAcentral's name for it is "SSU rRNA". It matches the Rfam family "Eukaryotic small subunit ribosomal RNA", at positions 569 to 902 of the family's 1831-position model. The record is from RNAcentral. Lineage: Eukaryota; Fungi; Glomeromycota; Glomeromycetes; Glomerales; Glomeraceae.
AGCAGCCGCGGUAAUUCCAGCUCCAAUAGCGUAUAUUAAAGUUGUUGCAGUUAAAAAGCUCGUAGUUGAAUUUCGGGAUCAAUUUAUUGGUCGUGCAAUAGUACGUACUGGUAUUAUUGGUUCCUACCUUCUGAUGAACCAUGAUGUCAUUAAUUUGGUGUUAUGGGGAAUCAGGACUGUUACUUUGAAAAAUUAGAGUGUUUAAAGCAGGCUCACGCUUGAAUACAUUAGCAUGGAAUAAUGAAAUAGGACGUUUGAUUCUAUUUUGUUGGUUUCUAGGAUCGACGUAAUGAUUAAUAGGGAUAGGUUGGGGGCAUUAGUAUUCAAU